This 65-nucleotide small nucleolar RNA is filed under the name Rhinopithecus roxellana (golden snub-nosed monkey). Its description in RNAcentral is "Small nucleolar RNA SNORD81 (ENSRROG00000005935.1)". Lineage: Eukaryota; Metazoa; Chordata; Mammalia; Primates; Cercopithecidae. The record is from RNAcentral.
CACAAAACCACUGAUACCAACUCUCUCACUGAUUACUUGAAGACAAUAAAAGAUCUGAUAUUCUG